GUUACGCGUUUUUUAUGUAAAAAUACCAUUUAGAUACCAGAUAUGUUUUUCUAAUAUUUUUUUUUUAGAAAAACAAAAACAAGUUGAAGGGGUAACACACACUAUUGCAUAACCAACAAAUUGAAGGGGUAACAAACACUAUUGCAUAACCCGCACACUAAAGGGGCAAUAUGUAACACUCAUAUGCAUAACCCGAAAAAUGAAGGGGCAACAUACAAUCCUUUUUACAGUGUUGCCACAUUGUCCAAUACCCACCCCACACUGUAAUUUAAUUCGAAUUUUUAUUGCACAAUUUGGCUAUAAACUCUUAUUCUAAAAUCGUCAUUGCCCCACUACUAAGGUGAGAUUUUAUGCCGAUUUGUGUCCUUUUUUCACCUAUAUGGAACGGCGCUUAUCAUAUUUUCAAUUUUCAUCUGUUGUACCCUAAUUUUAGUACAUUUGUCUUCUUAAUUUUCCAGGGCCAUCAUAAUAUAUUUACUACGCGAAUUGUGCCGGGGAGCUGUAGAUCUUGGGCGGGAAUUGUGCCGGGGAGCUGUAGAUCUUGGGCGGGAAUUGUGCCAGGGAGCAGUGGGUUUUGGGCGCGAGAUAAUAGAGGUUGUGCACGACAGCGAAUGCAUGAAGGUCCGGGAAUUAUGAGUAAAUUAGCUGAUGAAUCUGAGAGCAAUUUGCGUAAAGGUUUUGAAGAGGCAGACAAACAUGCUCCAGCCAUUAUCUUUAUUUAUGAACUAGAUGCUAUUGCGCCUAAAAGAGGAAAGGUAAGUUCACAUCUUCCAGUACUAUUAAGUCAAAUAUAUUAGACCUCAACUGAUAUUCCGAUGAAAAAUUCUGCACUUACUUCUCAUAAAUUUCAGCUCUAGCAUUUGCUC
This 866-nucleotide long non-coding RNA is filed under the name Bemisia tabaci. RNAcentral's name for it is "lncRNA ENSSSA3NGG012341". The record is from RNAcentral. Lineage: Eukaryota; Metazoa; Arthropoda; Insecta; Hemiptera; Aleyrodidae.